AGAAUCAACGCUGGCGGCGUGCCUAACACAUGCAAGUCGCACGAGAAAGGGACUUCGGUCCUGAGUAAAGUGGCGCACGGGUGAGUAACACGUGAAUCAUCUACCUCCGAAUGGGGGAAUAACUGAGAGAAAUCUUAGCUAAUACCGCAUAAUACCUACGGGUCAAAGCAGCAAUGCGUUUGGAGAGGAGUUCGCGGUCGAUUAGUUAGUUGGCGGGUAAUGGCCCACCAAGACGAUGAUCGAUA
Molecule: ribosomal RNA, 245 nt
Filed under: uncultured bacterium
Lineage: Bacteria
Description: partial small subunit ribosomal RNA
Rfam family: Bacterial small subunit ribosomal RNA
Source: RNAcentral